GGCUUUGUAGUCAAAAUGAAUGAUGUUAGGUUGCAAUUCUAAAGUUGUAUUUAAUACUAAGGCCU
RNAcentral lists this transfer RNA (65 nucleotides) under Pseudolestes mirabilis. RNAcentral describes it as "tRNA-Cys". Lineage: Eukaryota; Metazoa; Arthropoda; Insecta; Odonata; Pseudolestidae. The record is from RNAcentral.